CCCCGAUGUCGGGACAUCUGCGAUUGUUUCUCGGGGUCUAUGGGAAACGGUUCCAUCUCACCGGCAUGCUUCCGUAUCAAGGGCAACUCCAGUCACCUGGUGAAGCAGAUGCUGCAAGACAACAGCAACGGUAGAAGAUGUGUGGCCUCUGAAGACACAACGAUGUUCCAAUGUGAAAGAGGACAGAUGACGUGCAUGCGUCAUGAUGGUGGGACAACCCUUAAACAGGAUACUGUAGAAGACCCGAUGCCGAUCCGAUCUGUGACAGACGAGAACACCUACACGUAUGUGACCUGUGACCGACUAUCAGAGAAGGGAUCGAUACUUUCGUGUCGUGUCGACAAGAACGCCACAAGAUUUGGAAGCUGUGCAAAGGAAUCACUCACCAAAUGCCAUUACAAAUCGGCGGGAAAUAAGAAGAAAAAAGAUUCCACCCAAAGUGACUCCGAAGUGAGCAGAGAUGACAAGUGUCCACAAGGAUGGUCAUUCAGGAGAAAGAGAUGUCACAAACAUGUCAAUGACCCUUUGACCUUUGACCAAGCCUAUACCAGAUGUCGACACAUGGAGGCGUUCUUGACGGUGUACUCGGAAGGCUCGAAUGACGAACUCCUUCCUCCACAGUGGGGUGAAUGGACACACUGGGCAGAAAAUAAAACGAGAGAAAAUGCAACUUCCGAAUGUUUUGUCACCAACACCAGCAACUUGAAAACGAGCUGUGAGGAUUCUCAUCCUUUCUUCUGCUAUAAAGAAGUCUUCAAGUUCCUUCAGUGUAAAGCAGCCCCGGAAGCACUUCCCGUUGAACCAACGGAAGAGCUUACAACAACUGAGAUGAUCACGCCUACACCGGAAACCACCAGCACAACCACGCCCACUACCAUGCCCACUACCACGGCCAGGACCACACCCACUACCAAAACUACCAGCAUAACCACGCCCACUACCACGACCACACCCACUGCUAGGACCACACCCACUACCCAAACCACCAGCAUAACCACGCCUACUACCAAGACCACACCCACUGUCAGGACCACACCAACUACCAAAUAUCAACAUGCCCCCGUCGGGACUUCAACGCCAGAGGAAAAACUGAAUAAUGCUCGAGUUGCUCUAAAAGAGGCGAAGGCUCAGAUAGGGGACUUUGUUGCACAGUUCACGGAUGAUCAAGGGACUCUGGAUAUUCUCGAUGAAAUCAUCGACGCUCCUCCCUUGAUCGGCCCCGGACCGUCAGGGAACGACGACACAGCUGCUACCAUGGUAACUGACAUGGUUGAGAAGAUGGACAGUCUGGUAGACUCGUUAGCAGAGAUCGUCUCUGGUCCGGGGAAGUCCCUUACUAUCGAAAAUGACCAGCUUGUCCUGAAGGUGAUUCCGAUCUGUGCGACGUGCUCAUCGACGUCGCCUGGGCCGAGACUCGAAGCCGGGAUCAACAACGAUUCGUACGUGGUCAAGAUACCGUCAGCGGCAAUGGGUGAUGGAGCUACGGCUGCUAUUUCUGUUCUGAGCUCUGUCGAGGACGUGAUGUCGACCAACAUGGUCGAUGAUGGCGAAGAGACGACAACGGGUGGCGAGAAUCGGACCGUGGUCACACACGAGAUCGUCUCCUUGGUCGCCACCGUGUCGGUCAAGAAAUGGGACGGUUCGGAUCUCCAACUGGCAGCCGAUCAACCAUUCGAGAUUAUCUUCAACAAUAAACAGAGUGCAAGUGAUACGGAGGAUUCUGGUCGUUCCUGUUGCUAUUGGCAACCAGAUGAAGUGGUUAAAGGUAAAGGGGCGUGGUCAACGGAGGGGUGUGUCACCAAGGUUAACCGCACCCACACAACCUGUCAAUGUACCCAUCUGACUAGCUUCGCGGUCCUCAUGCAGGUUUCGAAAGGAGGGGCACCCCAGUCAUCUCAUGUCCGCAAGAUUCAAAAUUAUAUGACCUACGUUGGUUGUGGUCUGUCCAUGACAUGCCUUGCUACAAUGCUCAUCGUCUUCACCAUCCAAAAGUUGUAUCGGUCUGAUCGGAACGUCAUCCAUAUGAACCUGGCCUCAUCACUGUUGGUAUCACAAGCUGUAUUCCUGUUCGGCAUAGACAGGGUCGAGAUAUGGCAAGUAUGCAAGACGAUCGGUAUCUGCCUCCACUUCUUCCUCCUGGCGACGUUCUUCUGGAUGUUGGUGGAAGGCAUCUAUCUCAUCUCCAAGACAACGUCUACCAGGAACAGAUUCCUCGCGAUGCCUACCUACAUCGCUAUCGGCUGGGGAGGACCAGCUGUCAUCGUUGGGAUCACAGCCGGAGUAUCCUUCAAGGCAUACAGCAUCGAAAAGAUAUGCUGGUUAUCGAACGAGAACGGAGGGAUCUGGGCGUUCGUUGGACCCGCCAUAGGCAUAGUGAUGAUGAACGUCUCGCUCCUCUGUCAAGUCAUUCGAGUUUUCAUGAGCCUUAAAACCAACAUGAAGAAAGCACACUCAGAUAGAAUAUGGUAAGCUACACGUUGUUAAAGGAGAUCGACGUCUACCCUGAUAUUAAGUUGGCUUGAAUAGUAACAGAAACAUUAGAGAAACAUGUCAGUGGAAGUUCGAGCAAAUUUUGGUUGAAAAUAAGAAAGUUAUGAAUUGUUGAAGUUGCGAUAAAUCUAACGCAUUUUUUUGGUAGUGUUUUCCCUUAAGGAAACUGUCAUUCAUACGUGCACCCUAAAUAUGAUUAGCUAACAUUGUCAAUAUGUUUUAUACAUUCCCUGUAUAGAAACAAAUCUUUUCCGUCGUCUAUUACAAAGAAAAUGAUGGCUUGUGAAAUGUAAUGUGCAAAACCAAUGGGAGAUGACCUUUAUCUAGAGAGGUUAAAGACCGGACUGGUUUGACUUUAAUUCAUUUUUUGAACAUUUUUUUUAAAAAGUUAAUAUUUGUUGACGCGGAGGGGCGCUAAGUUUUGAAUGUCAUGUUUAGAUAUAUAUGAUUUGAAAUGAUAGAUAUCGACAGUAUACCCUACUCCUUUUCUUUUGGUUAUAGGUUGGCUCUCCGAGCGAUGCUUCUGACCCUGCCCCUCCUUGGUGGUACAUGGCUGUUUGGAAUCCUUUCUUUCAACUCUCAGACCAUCUUCUUCUCCUACAUCUUCAUCGUACUCAAUUCAUUACAGGGAGUGUUCAUAUUCGUGCUCUACUGCGUGAUGAAUGACAAGGUCAAGAAAGUAGUCGAGAGGAAACUCAGCAGCAUAUCGGGCCGGGCAUCGAACGGGAGGUCGACGAAAAGCACCACCUACACAGUUAAAAAUUUAGUGAACAUGUUGUUUAAAAGUUUAAACAACUGUUGAUUAACGGGUGACCUGAUCUAAGAGUUGUUUAAAAUGUUAAGCAA
Molecule: RNA transcript, 3336 nt
Organism: Strongylocentrotus purpuratus (purple sea urchin)
Lineage: Eukaryota; Metazoa; Echinodermata; Echinoidea; Camarodonta; Strongylocentrotidae
Gene name: adhesion G-protein coupled receptor D1
Exons: 20
Source: RefSeq, a predicted model, not a curated record